This 136-nucleotide ribosomal RNA is filed under the name Klebsiella pneumoniae subsp. pneumoniae KPNIH5. RNAcentral's name for it is "partial 23S ribosomal RNA". It matches the Rfam family "Bacterial large subunit ribosomal RNA", at positions 2796 to 2925 of the family's 2925-position model. Lineage: Bacteria; Pseudomonadati; Pseudomonadota; Gammaproteobacteria; Enterobacterales; Enterobacteriaceae. The record is from RNAcentral.
GCCCCGAGAUGAGUUCUCCCUGAGACUAUAAGUCUCCUGAAGGACGUUAAAGACGAUGACGUUGAUAGGCCGGGUGUGUAAGCGCAGCGAUGCGUUGAGCUAACCGGUACUAAUGAACCGUGAGGCUUAACCUUAC